GGAAAUGCGUUGAAAAAGGAAAGUAACUUAAAUAGAGUUUUGCAGAGAGGAAAUUAUUUGCUGGGAGAUUUCUAAACAAAGUUUAUGUGAAGUGCCCUUUGGAGUAGUGUACCGAAAUUAAGUAGGCUACAUCGGGUUCACCCGUUACAGUGAUAGAGCAUAGAAAUGUGUUCGAAUGGAAAGCUGAGGUCUUUAUUAUUGGAGGACCUAAUUAGAGUGGAACCGCGGAUUCAACCCCGUCUCUAGA
Molecule: non-coding RNA, 247 nt
Filed under: Clostridium magnum
Lineage: Bacteria; Bacillati; Bacillota; Clostridia; Eubacteriales; Clostridiaceae
Description: T-box sequence
Rfam family: T-box leader
About the family: Uncharged tRNA acts as the effector for transcription antitermination of genes in the T-box leader family. T-boxes are found upstream of many aminoacyl-tRNA synthetase genes and some amino acid biosynthetic genes usually in Gram-positive bacteria.
Source: RNAcentral